GGGUGGGAUAGAUAGAAAAGGUACAAAUUUUACAAAUAAUUCCUAUUGAUAAUAGUCACAAUUAAAUUUUCUUGCUCUAUAUACAACUCUAGUUUUGUUCACACGUAAGAUUUUCUUGCUGUUUUCCUUUAGUAAUAGCAAAGGGAUACAAAAUUGUAAGGGGAUGGGCCUUGAUAAAAGCAAUAUUCAGGACAAAAAAUGUAAAAGUUCCAGAAAUGAGAAAAACUUUUACUUGUCUUGCUUUUGGAAACGGCUAUAAAAACCCUGAAAUGGUUUGAAUUCUUCUUGCCAUUUUGAGAAAUGCCUUUUCAACAAAUUAUAAGCUUUCAAUUCUUGUGAACUGAAGUCCAUAGCAGCAGCAUCAAACUUCAAUUGAAUGGGGCACAGAUCAUCAAAGAGUUCUUGUCUGACAUUUUCUACCUCAUUGUUGUGGAUGGACUCUUUCUCAUGCACUUUUGAAAUCAAGUAAGCAAAUCUGCCAUCCUUAUGAACACAGUUGCUCUCUCUAUAGACCUCAGUAGAGCAGUGUACUGCAAUGGGACAGUGUAAAAAGAAUGACUUUGGUUUUUCAGAAUCAAACCAGAUGUUAUCUCUGUCAUUGGCAAGGGAGACAGCAUCUUCAUCAUCAGGCUCAACUGUAGAAUCUGGCAUGGCCAUUUCCCUUGCCACUUGCAUUACUUCAC
RNAcentral lists this unclassified non-coding RNA (683 nucleotides) under Hevea brasiliensis (rubber tree). The record is from RNAcentral. Lineage: Eukaryota; Viridiplantae; Streptophyta; Magnoliopsida; Malpighiales; Euphorbiaceae.